Non-coding RNA from Drosophila virilis, 350 nucleotides. The record is from RefSeq and is a predicted model, not a curated record. NCBI's taxonomy places the organism in Eukaryota, Metazoa, Arthropoda, Insecta, Diptera, Drosophilidae.
CCCCGAGCAUUUCGUAUUUUUUGCGAUGGUAUCAUAACCAUAAACAGCUGAUAUAUCACCAAAGUAAGCGGUUAAUUGAAAUUAUAAUUUUAAAGUUGUAUUAGCCCACAGUUUUUAACAUAUUGAUGGCCAAUUCACGAAAAGAUUAUACAAAAUGGAGCCCCUACGUCGAGGCCAUUCUUUUUGAUUUAUGGGAGGAAUAUUCAACGCAUGGGUGCCAAACUAACCGAAGCUGGCUUCGAAAGUUUAUGUUGGCAAAACGUGCGAUCUAAAAUAGAUAAUGCAACGCGGAAGUACAACAUCUGGAGAGGCGCCAUCAGGAUGGAGCCAGUUUGAGUGGGGACACCGAA